RNAcentral lists this ribosomal RNA (479 nucleotides) under Streptococcus sp. G81218H1. RNAcentral's name for it is "bacterial SSU rRNA". It matches the Rfam family "Bacterial small subunit ribosomal RNA", at positions 27 to 480 of the family's 1533-position model. The record is from RNAcentral. Lineage: Bacteria; Bacillati; Bacillota; Bacilli; Lactobacillales; Streptococcaceae.
GGACGAACGCUGGCGGCGUGCCUAAUACAUGCAAGUUGAACGCAACAAAGACACCAGAGCUUGCUCUACCGUUUUUGUUGAGUAGCGAACGGGUGAGUAACGCGUGGGUAACCUGCCUUAUAGCGGGGGAUAACUAUUGGAAACGAUAGCUAAUACCGCAUAACAAUAGAGAUUGCAUAAUCUUUAUUUGAAAGUGCCAACUGGUACACUAUGAGAUGGACCCGCGUUGUAUUAGCUAGUUGGUAGUGUAAUGGACUACCAAGGCGAUGAUACAUAGCCGACCUGAGAGGGUGAUCGGCCACAUUGGGACUGAGACACGGCCCAAACUCCUACGGGAGGCAGCAGUAGGGAAUCUUCGGCAAUGGACGAAAGUCUGACCGAGCAACGCCGCGUGAGUGAAGAAGGUUUUCGGAUCGUAAAACUCUGUUGUUAGAGAAGAAUGUUGAUUAGAGUGGAAAAUUAAUCAAGUGACGGUAUCU